GUCGAUAUGGCCGAGCGGUUAAGGCGUGUGACUAGAAAUCACAUGGGUUCUCCCGCGCAGGUUCAAAUCCUGCUGUCGACG
The sequence is a transfer RNA, 81 nucleotides long. It matches the Rfam family "tRNA". From Rfam's summary of the family: Transfer RNA (tRNA) molecules are approximately 80 nucleotides in length. The record is from Rfam.